Molecule: ribosomal RNA, 255 nt
Filed under: uncultured bacterium
Lineage: Bacteria
Description: partial 16S ribosomal RNA
Rfam family: Bacterial small subunit ribosomal RNA
Source: RNAcentral
UACGUAGGGGCCUAGCGUUGUCCGGAAUCAUUGGGCGUAAAGAGCUCGUAGGCGGUUCGGCAAGUCACGUGUGAAAUCUCCACGCUUAACGUGGAGGCGCCACGUGAAACUGCCGUGACUCGAGUCCGGUAGGGGAGUGUGGAAUUCCCGGUGUAGCGGUGAAAUGCGUAGAUAUGUGGAGGAACACCUGUGGCGAAGGCGGCUCACUGGACCAUAACUGACGCUGAUGGCACGAAAGCUAGGGGAGCAAACAGG